GAACAGUAUGUGCGGGGAGGAAUGGAGGUACAUAGCCUGCUGGGAAUAGCAGGCCCUACCUGGGCAGGAGGUAAAGCUGGGACAGACCAGGGAGAAUUGUGUCAGCUGUGUUGCGCAGUGUGGAUGUUUCUUCACCUGGUAGGGAACUGUUUACAGUUUAAAUAUUCUCAGAAUCAUUACGUAAAGAUUGCUCUUCAGGCUUCCCUAGUGGUUCAGUGGUUCAGAAUCCACCUGCCAAUGCAGGGGACACGGGUUCCAUCCCUGGUCUGGGAUGAUCCCCACGCCUUAAGGCAAGUAAACUCGUGCACCACAACUCCUAAGGCCGUGCUUAGAGCCUGGGAACCACAGUUAAUGAAGCACACUCGCCCUAGAGCCUGCACUGCGCAAGAGAAGCUACCACAAGGAGAAGCCUAUGAACCACAGCUAGAGAGCAGCUGCUGCUUGCCACAACUAGAGAAAGCCCUCCAAGCAGCAAUGAAGACCCAGUGCAACCAAAAAUAAAAUACUAAGAUUGCUGUCCAAGGAGGUUUCUGUUUUGUCAUGUGCAUUACUGUCAAAUGUUGGAUGUUUGUUCAUUCACGACAAGGAGACAAGCUAAAUAAACUUCAGAAGAAGGAGCAGAUAUUGUUCUGAGACAGGUGUGAUCACGUGUGCCCGGCUUGCUUUGUUUACCCCAGCAAUGCUUUCUACAACUUUUCCAGUUGAUCUGAUGGACAUCCCCAAGAUUCUCCUGAGGCUGCUGCUGCCGCUGCUAAGUUGCUUCAGUCGUGUCCGACUCUGUGCAACCCCAUAGAGGGCAGCCCACCAGGCUCCCCCGUCUCUGGGAUUCUCCAGGCAAAAACACUGGAGUGGGUUGCCAUUUCCUUCUCCAAUGCAUGAAAGUGAAAAGUGAAAGUGAAGUCGCUCAGUCGUGUCUGACUCCUAAGGACCUCAUGGACUGUAGACCACCAGGCUCCUCUGUCUAUGGGAUUUUCCAGUCCCAUACAGAUGUGACAGUUGGACCAUAAAGAAGGCUGAGUGCCGAAGAAGUGAUGUGUGUGAAUUAUGGUGCUGGAGAAGACUCUUUAGAGUCCCUUGGACAGCAAGGAGAUCAAACCAGUCAAUCCUAAAGGAAAUCAAGGCUGAAUAUUCAUUGGAAGGACUGAUGCUUAAGCCAAAGCUCCAAGACAUUGGCCACCUGAUUCGAAGAACAGACACAGUGGGGAAAAACCCUGAUGCUGGCAAAGUUUGAGGGCAGGAGGAGAAGGGGGCAACAAAGAAUGAGAUGGUUGGAUGGCAUCACCAACUCAAAGGACAUAAGUUUGGGCAUACUCCAGGAGAGAGUGAAGGACAGGGAAGGCUGGUGUGCUACAGUCCGUGGGGUUGCAAAGAAUCAGAUAUAAUUUAGCAACUGAACAACGACAACAAAUAUAUGAAAGUUAUCCACCUACCAUAGAGCUCUGUAAAUAGCAAAUAUACAAUGGAAGGUAAAGCGAUUUAAUCAUACACAAUUGAAAAAGCAUAACCUACGUGUUUUUGUAAUUGCAGCUACUAAUUAUCAACUGUCUAUUCUAAGUGAGGUAUUUAUUCUCACUAUUCUUUACGAUAAUCAAUAAUCCCACAAAAAUUAUUGAUAUCCCCAUUUUAUAGUGAAGAAAGUGAGGCUCAAAGAGUUCUUGCCAAAGUCAAAUUAGCUUGGAAGAGGCAAAGCCUGUAUUUUAAGUCCUGUCCCCUCACAUUUAAUAACUUACUUCUUCCCUCAUUUUUUAAAAAAAUCAUAAUCUGCAAACCUGUCUAUCUUACAAAAUAUGCUUCAUCAUGUGGCUUUGGAACUUGGGUGAUAAAAGGAAAGAAAAACACCCAGUGCUGAGUAUUGUUUUGGUUUAUUCAUCCCUUCCACAAUGUCAGGAACAUGUGACCCCUGUACAAGGAAAUAGCCCCCACCUACAGACACCCAGUCUCAACUUCCUCUGCCCCUUCUCCUGCCUGAAGAGCAAGAACACACAGCAGCAUCAGCAGCACAGCCUGGUAUUCCUAGACCACCAGGAAAGGAUAUGGCCUUUGCUUGAAUUCUUUGCCUAAUAAAAGUUUCAAAAAGCUGAUAUUUUAUUUAUUCAAUAAUAAUGUAUUUAAUCAUAGUUCGUAUUACUCAGUUCCCU
Molecule: long non-coding RNA, 2138 nt
Organism: Bos taurus (domestic cattle)
Lineage: Eukaryota; Metazoa; Chordata; Mammalia; Artiodactyla; Bovidae
Source: Ensembl